UACGUAGGUGGCAAGCGUUGUCCGGAAUUAUUGGGCGUAAAGCGCGCGCAGGCGGUCCUUUAAGUCUGAUGUGAAAGCCCACGGCUCAACCGUGGAGGGUCAUUGGAAACUGGGGGACUUGAGUACAGAAGAGAAGAGUGGAAUUCCACGUGUAGCGGUGAAAUGCGUAGAGAUGUGGAGGAACACCAGUGGCGAAGGCGACUCACUGGACAUGUAUUGACGCUGAGGUGCGAAAGCGUGGGGAGCAAACAGG
This 253-nucleotide ribosomal RNA is filed under the name uncultured bacterium. RNAcentral's name for it is "partial 16S ribosomal RNA". It matches the Rfam family "Bacterial small subunit ribosomal RNA", at positions 524 to 776 of the family's 1533-position model. The record is from RNAcentral.